RNAcentral lists this ribosomal RNA (481 nucleotides) under uncultured bacterium. RNAcentral describes it as "partial 16S ribosomal RNA". It matches the Rfam family "Bacterial small subunit ribosomal RNA", at positions 28 to 507 of the family's 1533-position model. The record is from RNAcentral.
GAUGAACGCUGGCGGCGUGCUUAACACAUGCAAGUCGAACGAAGCAUUUGCGACAGAUUUUUUCGGAAUGAAGUUGCUUAUGACUGAGUGGCGGACGGGUGAGUAACGCGUGGGUAACCUGCCUUGUACUGGGGGAUAGCAGCUGGAAACGGCUGGUAAUACCGCAUAAGCGCACAAUGUUGCAUGACAUGGUGUGAAAAACUCCGGUGGUAUAAGAUGGACCCGCGUCUGAUUAGCUAGUUGGUGAGAUAACAGCCCACCAAGGCGACGAUCAGUAGCCGACCUGAGAGGGUGACCGGCCACAUUGGGACUGAGACACGGCCCAGACUCCUACGGGAGGCAGCAGUGGGGAAUAUUGCACAAUGGAGGAAACUCUGAUGCAGCGACGCCGCGUGAGUGAAGAAGUAAUUCGUUAUGUAAAGCUCUAUCAGCAGGGGAGAUAGUGACGGUACCUGACUAAGAAGCUCCGGCUAAAUACGUG